ACUUCAUUCUGUAUCUUUAAACAAGUAAUGACUCCCUUCAUCUGCUGUUCACCUUAAAGUUACUAUAUUGCAACUUGCAGGACAUCUUUUACAAUCAAGUUAAUGUCAGUUGAAGCACGACUGGGAGUUGCUGAAGUAACAAAAUGCUUCCUCUCCUAGGUAUUGAGCCAUUGCAAGGAUAAACUGUUUCAUCACACUGCCCCAGGAACAGUCUUUUAUCAACAGUUCUCGUGACAUGUCUUGUCUGUGAGGAAGUUGUAUUUGUUCUAGUGAUAACCAGAUUCAUUUGCUGAUACGUGCAUUCUUGCCAGGCCGCCCCACAGUUCUGCUCGUCUUCUCUUUCUUGAGAGAUCCGUUCUGCAUUAUCCCCUUCAUGUGUGCAGCAGCACAGAAAGUUGGACUCUAGAUAGCUGCUAUGUUUCUGGA
This 426-nucleotide long non-coding RNA is filed under the name Struthio camelus australis. RNAcentral's name for it is "lncRNA (ENSSCUG00000006441.1)". Lineage: Eukaryota; Metazoa; Chordata; Aves; Struthioniformes; Struthionidae. The record is from RNAcentral.